Long non-coding RNA from Drosophila ananassae, 359 nucleotides. RefSeq lists it as uncharacterized. The record is from RefSeq and is a predicted model, not a curated record. The transcript has 2 exons. NCBI's taxonomy places the organism in Eukaryota, Metazoa, Arthropoda, Insecta, Diptera, Drosophilidae.
UAAAAUGAGCUUUUUUAGAAGGUUACUUAGCACCUCCUCGUUGUUCUUUAUUGUAUUAACGGUCUUAUUAAUUGCCCUAUCGAUGGGAAGGAAGCUAAAGCAUGUUCGAUGCGGAGAGAUUGUAGACCGCGGAAUGUGUGGCUUCAAUUACACCAGAUACCAUUUCAGCCCAUCCCAAAACCAAUGUUACAAAUUCUUCUAUAGAGGCUGUGCUGCCUUCGGAAACAACUUCAAGUCCUACAAGGGGUGCAUGAGGUUCUGCAAGGACACAACUAAAGAUUCUUAAUUGUGUCAUGUGUUUUUUAUUGUAAAUGUUAUUAAUUUUCACUUCAUGGAAAUAAAAAGUCCAAGCGCGCAAA